RNAcentral lists this ribosomal RNA (254 nucleotides) under uncultured bacterium. RNAcentral's name for it is "partial 16S ribosomal RNA". It matches the Rfam family "Bacterial small subunit ribosomal RNA", at positions 524 to 776 of the family's 1533-position model. The record is from RNAcentral.
GACGUAGGGGCGCGAGCGUUGUCCGGAUUUAUUGGGCGUAAAGAGCUCGUAGGCGGCUUGUCGCGUCGUCCGUGAAAACUUGGGGCUCAACCCCAAGCUUGCGGUCGAUACGGGCAGGCUAGAGUUCGGUAGGGGAGACUGGAAUUCCUGGUGUAGCGGUGAAAUGCGCAGAUAUCAGGAGGAACACCAAUGGCGAAGGCAGCUCGCUGGGACGGUACUGACGCUGAGGAGCGAAAGCGUGGGGAGCAAACAGG